ACUGCAAGUGUUUUCAGCCACCAUUGUUAUUUUAAUCUAGCAAAAGAUGAUCCUCAAUGAUAGGAUCAGGGUUAUUACUUUCCUGAAAUUUAUAAAUAUUUCGUUUCAUUGUUCAUGGUCUAUACUUCAGUGAAUAUCUACUGGUUCUUUUCUUCUUUUAAAACUAUACAGGACAUUUAGACACAAGAAUAAGGAUUUCAUAAUGCACAAAAACUUUCUCUCAUAAGAAAACCACUGGAGCUCGUGAAUUUUGCUGUGCAAAUGGAUAAAUACUGACAGAAUACAUGUGGCUUGCAUCAGGUACAUCAUUAGACACCCCACCCAUGGAUCCAUGGCACUAAAAAACUUGCAGAAUUUCGAAGACCCUGGGACAAGCAUGUCAGAAGAAGGGCAUGAGUUGAUAGAAGCAUUGUGGAAAAACCCAACCAUGCAAUCCCAGGAAGUACCAGUGGCAGUCAUUAAUUUAUCACCUACAAAAUCAGGAAACCAGAUGGGAAAGCAUUGUUCAGAAGAAGGAAUACAAUGCACUGAAUCUGUGUCGCAGUUUCUGGCAUUUUGGUGGUUUCAUAAAGGAUGUAGGAGGAGGAAGUCUGGGAACAGCUGUCCAGAAAAAUGGAUUUGA
Molecule: long non-coding RNA, 622 nt
Filed under: Taeniopygia guttata (zebra finch)
Lineage: Eukaryota; Metazoa; Chordata; Aves; Passeriformes; Estrildidae
Description: lncRNA (ENSTGUG00000025157.1)
Source: RNAcentral